CUCAGAGGAGCCCUGGCUGCCUUGGAGCCCACAUGGGCAGCCCUGUCCUGACAUGCCCCUGCCCCUUUGCUGCCCUGCCUUGCACUCUGUCUCGCGGCGGCCAGAUGUGCCGGCUUUGGUGCUGGCGGCUCUUAAUGAGGUCCAGAUGUGCAGCUUGGCCCGGGCCAGCAGAAUUUUUCAUAACAUGUGGGCAAAUGUGGUGUGCAUGUCGGGGAUGGCGACAGAUAGCACGUGAGGCAAAAGAUGUGGACUCAUGAUGAGCAUUUAAAAGCUUUGAGCUGGGCGUGGUGGCUCACACCUGUAAUCCCAGCACUUUGGGAGGCUGAGGCGGGCAGAUCACCUGAGGUCAGGAGUUCGAGACCAGCCUGACCAACAUGGUGAAACCCUGUCUCUACUAAAAAUACAAAAAUUAGCCAGGUGUGGUGGUGGGCGCCUGUAAUCCUAACUACUCAGGAGACUGAGGCAGGAGAAUUGCUUGAACCUGGGAGGCAGAGGUUGCAGUGAGUCAAGAUCAUGCCAUUGCACUCCCC
This 530-nucleotide long non-coding RNA is filed under the name Pan troglodytes (chimpanzee). Its description in RNAcentral is "long non-coding RNA NONPTRT014613". Lineage: Eukaryota; Metazoa; Chordata; Mammalia; Primates; Hominidae. The record is from RNAcentral.